GAAUUAGGGAUGAGCCGAUACCAGAAAAAAGCCGAUUCACCGAUCCGAUAUAUCGGAGCCGAUAUAAAAAAAUAAUCGGCCGAUUAAUCGGCUAUGGCCGAUAUUUCUGUGUACCGGGGUACAAGCGCCGGAUAACGGUUUUUUGACAACUUUUAAUACUUGUGUAUACGCCACAAAUUGACGUACUAGUUUUAGUGUGUUCCGGAAAAUAUUUACUCAUAUUGGACAGUUAUCCGUCACUGUACGAGUCAAAUGAAUUAAUGGAUAUGGGAUUAAAUACGCGCAACAAAAGUGUCAAAAACAAGACGGAGUGUAGAUUACUAGAUUAUAGAGUUAUUUUUCUUAAAAAA
RNAcentral lists this long non-coding RNA (350 nucleotides) under Paramuricea clavata. Lineage: Eukaryota; Metazoa; Cnidaria; Anthozoa; Malacalcyonacea; Plexauridae. The record is from RNAcentral.